UACCGGUCGCGUGACUGGCGAAUCGUGGGGCACCACAGGGAAGCGCCGACCAUAAUCGAGCCGUUCGCCUGGGCACCUUCA
Molecule: non-coding RNA, 81 nt
Filed under: Sphingomonas sp.
Lineage: Bacteria; Pseudomonadati; Pseudomonadota; Alphaproteobacteria; Sphingomonadales; Sphingomonadaceae
Also listed under: 1 other name
Description: ZTP sequence
Rfam family: ZMP/ZTP riboswitch aptamer (pfl RNA motif)
About the family: Previously known as pfl RNA. ZMP is also known as AICAR.
Source: RNAcentral